GGCUCUCUCUUUUAAUUUCCUGAUUUGCCCAUUCCCCAGGCAUCAACUCUCCUCAGGAGCUGCCCAUGCCCAUCCUUCCUUAUGCUUUGAUCUGAAUCUCAGGCCUCCCACAGAAAUUAGUGGGAGGCAGCUGCUAGCCCAUGCUUAGGAUGACUCUUCACACCUCAAUUAACGUAAUUGGGCUAAACCCCAUAGACGUCCAACAGAUCAACCCGGACCUAGACAGUCUCACGUUGGGGCCAUCUUACCGGGGUCUUCUAGAUCGCCUUAAGUCGACUGUUAUAAUCAGUCAACGCAAAUGUUUUGGAAAGUAACGGUAUAAUUCAAUCCAUCCCUCCUCUUCCUCCUUCUCUUCCCCUCCCCCUUCUCUCUCCCUUCUCCCUCCUUUUCUUCCUCUUUCCCCCUCUGCCUCUCCCCACCACACACACACACCAGAACAUCCUUUUCCUCCUUCCUUUCUCAUCUCCUUAUCAAGGGCAAGACAUAUCUACUAAGAACAACAGGGGUAUUGCCAUCCACGCACUGUGGACUGCCUUACCUUCUCUGCCUCCAUAUAGAACGCAGUUUUGAUUUGACUGAGUGGCCAGGAGGCCAUUCCCAGUCAGAAGGCUGUGACAAGUGGAGAGUAUAUUCCAUCAGACGAGCACAUGAAGUCAGGGAGGGGGGCACAAAAAUAACCCAGAGCCACCAAAACCCAUCAGAAUGUUCCAGAUAGUUUCACGAUAAGCUGGAAAUUGCUGAAAACACCGGCAGUCAGAAAGACGCAAGCUACAGCUGGAAGAAACCUAUUAACCAGAGACAGAGAACUCAUCCAGGGAGUGCCGGCUAUAUCCGCAUAAUACGGACAGAGACUGGAUAUCCGUUGCCCUAUGUGUCGAAAGCCAGAGCUUUGCUGGAUGUGUGCUGUGGACCACACAUUCUUUGCAAUAGGACCAGAGAGGACUUCAUCACAGAGUCAACCAUCAAGGACCAAGGACCAUGGCAGGCUUCCACAUGAGGUGUCACCUUGCCAUUGUGUGUGGACAUUUCUUCAGGCUCCUGACACAUUCCUAGGGAUGGCUUUGUCGAAGGGACAGGAGGAGUUACUGAGAGGAGUCAGUCACUAGCACCAAAUCCCUUCUCCCUGUUGCAGUGACAGAGACGAAAGGUUGUCUUUCUGCUUGACGGCCAUCUUUAUUUGACAGCAGUACAGUCUACAUCAGUGGUUCUCAGCCUCCCUAACACUGUGACCCUUUAAUACAGUUCCUCAUGUUAUAAUGACCCCAAGUCACAAAAUUAUUUUCAUUGCUACUUCCUAACUAUAAUCUUGCUAGUGUCACGAAAUCCUAGUGCAAAUAUCUGUGUUUUCUGAUCGUCAGUCUUGAUGUCAGUUUGGUUGGCUUGAUAGACACCUAGGAGACCAGCAAGGUGUGCCUUCGGGGGUUCUGUGAGGGGUUUCCAAGGAGAAUUAACUAAAUGAGAGGAGAACCAGGGUAGAAGAGAUGAUUUAGCUUAAAUGUAGGCAGCGUUGUACCAUAGGCAGGGUGAAGGAGGAAACCCACAGUGCAAACAUUCUCGUAUCUUCCCCCUUUCUUCCUUCUCCCAACCCUACUCUCUGCUUCCUGGCCUUCCUGGUGGAUGAUACUCUCUUCUCUGCUAUGCCCUCCCACCCAAGACAGAGAAGAACCUCUAAAAUCGUGCCCCAACUCCACAAUUCUCCAUAGGUUGUUGGCUUUGGGUGGGAACAUAUACUGCCUUCCUGGCCAAGUCCAUAAAUCUGGCACCAUUCCAGUUCCUGACCCCAAAGGAGGCGAAGGUAGGUCUCAGAACUAGUUCUGGGAACCCGUUCUGCCACCCAGUCACCGUG
Molecule: non-coding RNA, 1846 nt
Organism: Rattus norvegicus (Norway rat)
Lineage: Eukaryota; Metazoa; Chordata; Mammalia; Rodentia; Muridae
Source: RefSeq, a predicted model, not a curated record